This is a non-coding RNA of Oryza meridionalis, 207 nucleotides long. Lineage: Eukaryota; Viridiplantae; Streptophyta; Magnoliopsida; Poales; Poaceae. The record is from Rfam.
AAUAAGUGUAGUUUUGCACUAUUCAUCUCUAACAUUUAACCGUUCGUCUUAUUUGAAAAUUUUUUAUGAUUACUAUUUUUAUUGUUAUUAGAUAAUGAAACAUGAAUAGUACUUUAUGUGUGACUAUUUUUUAAAAAAAAUUCAUAAAUUUUUCAAAUAAGGUGGACGGUCAAACGUUGGACACAGAUUUUCACGACUGUACUUAUU